GCCAGAACCGGAACCGUUUACCCAAAUAGACCCAGAACCGGAACCGGAUACAGCCUUACUUGUAAUUGGAGAUGCUGGGUUGUUGCAGCAGAGUUAAAAAAAAUUCACAAGUUUUGUCAUUGCCCAAAAUUUGAUUAUGCACUUUAUUUACAUCUUCAUUUAUUCCACGAAAAGCAUUUCGCAUUGAGGUCAUACCCAAAGCAUCUCGUCAGAAGCAUAGUCUACGUUGACUUCGUUAUCGUCUAACUCCUCUAAGUUAGACCUGAACUUGAUUUGGCAGGUUUAUGUAAUAGGUGAGGAAGGCAUACUGGAAGAACUGGAGCUAGCUGGUUUUACAGCACUAGGUGGCCCGGUAUGCGAUCCCCUUUGCUCUCAUAUUCUUAAUAAGUAGUGUUACAGAAUUGGAUAGUGUUGGGGUCAGAAGAACAACUCGUGGGUUCUUUAGGUGGUGUCGUUGUCCCAUUACAUUUUGUUGAUAACAAAUUUUCAAUAAUAGUUUAGCCUAAUAACAUAUCGGAAGUCUGAAACAUCUGGUAGCCACUCUAACUCUGUCUCUCUCCUGCCUUCUCUAUCUUUUUUUCAUCUGAGCACUUGUGCAGCAAUAGCUUCUCUGCCUUUUCUUUAAUUUAGUAUAACUGAAUAUCACAUAUUUUUG
Molecule: long non-coding RNA, 655 nt
Filed under: Nicotiana benthamiana
Lineage: Eukaryota; Viridiplantae; Streptophyta; Magnoliopsida; Solanales; Solanaceae
Description: long non-coding RNA (NBEN_LNC002509)
Source: RNAcentral